UACGAAGGGUGCAAACGUUGCUCGGAAUCAUUGGGCGUAAAGCGCACGUAGGCGGCCUCAUAAGUCGGAUGUGAAAUCCCUCGGCUCAACCGAGGACGUGCAUACGAAACUGCGAGGCUCGAGUAUGGAAGAGGGUCGCGGAAUUCCCGGUGUAGAGGUGAAAUUCGUAGAUAUCGGGAGGAACACCAGUGGCGAAGGCGGCGACCUGGGCCAAUACUGACGCUGAGGUGCGAAAGCUAGGGGAGCGAACAGG
RNAcentral lists this ribosomal RNA (253 nucleotides) under uncultured bacterium. RNAcentral describes it as "partial 16S ribosomal RNA". It matches the Rfam family "Bacterial small subunit ribosomal RNA", at positions 524 to 776 of the family's 1533-position model. The record is from RNAcentral.